RNAcentral lists this transfer RNA (72 nucleotides) under Minicystis rosea. Its description in RNAcentral is "tRNA-Gly". It matches the Rfam family "tRNA". From Rfam's summary of the family: Transfer RNA (tRNA) molecules are approximately 80 nucleotides in length. Their secondary structure includes four short double-helical elements and three loops (D, anti-codon, and T loops). Lineage: Bacteria; Pseudomonadati; Myxococcota; Polyangiales; Polyangiaceae. The record is from RNAcentral.
GCGGGCAUGGUCUAGCGGUCAAGAUGGCAGGAUCCCACCCUGCCGAUGCGGGUUCGACUCCCGCUGCUCGCU